This is a long non-coding RNA of Carcharodon carcharias (great white shark), 4108 nucleotides long. RefSeq lists it as uncharacterized. NCBI's taxonomy places the organism in Eukaryota, Metazoa, Chordata, Chondrichthyes, Lamniformes, Lamnidae. The transcript is spliced from 2 exons. The record is from RefSeq and is a predicted model, not a curated record.
CUCACUGGCUGUGAAGAAUGUCAAUCAGAGGGAGCACCCACUCUGUCCAUUCCUCUUCCACAGACUGAAAACCAAGUGAGGAGACGAAGGUUUGCACCGUACUACACCAGAGAAUACAGAGAGGAUAGACCCCACAGACCCUAACCAUCACCCAAGGAACAACUACACAACUGUGGGAAGACAUCCAGUCCCUUCGCAGCAUUGCUAAACACAGAGAAGGUUGGGCCUAAUGAACCAUUGACUCAUUCCUACAGUGAGAGGCUGUUCAAAUGUGAAGAGAGCUCCACAGGCUUGUGACAUCUAACAAGCGAGGUGCAUCUUUUACAACCACUGUUAACACAAAAACAGCUGUAUGGAAGAAAACCCCUUCAAGUGAGAGGCGUGUGAUAAAAGUUUCAAGACUUCUAUGAGUCUCCUGAGACACCAGAUGAUUCACACGGGAGAAACCAUUCACCUGUGAGGUGCAUGACAAAUCAUUCUUGGACUGAUCCGCCCUCUGCCGACACUGAUGCAUUCACACAGGGGUGAAACCAUUCGCAUGUGAUGUGUGUAACAAAUCAUUGUCACAGUCAUCAACGCUCAUGUGACACCGGCACAUUCACACCAGGGAGUUGUUCAAGUGUGAGCUAUGUGAUAAAGCCUUCAUAAAUUUCUCAAGGCUCCUGGUCCAUCAGUCAGGCCACACAGGGGCUAAUCCAUUCACAUGCGCGGUUUGUGACAAAUGUUUCUCAAGGUCAUCAAACCUCCUGCUCCAUCACAAGAUCCACACAGGGGAGAAACUCUUCAAGUGUCUGGUUUGUGAUAAAGCCUUUGGGAUAUUUCCAAGCCUCCUGAGACACCAGAGGGUUCACACAAACAAGAAACCAUUCAAGUGUGAGAUGUGUGACAAAUCCUUCUCUAGGUCUUCCCAACUCCUGCUCCAAGACAGGAUCCAUAAAGGUGAGUAAAGCUUCAGGUGUGAGGCCUGUGACAAAGCUUCAGGUGUGAGGCCAUUGACAAAGCUUCAGGUGUGAGGCCUGUGACAAAGCUUCCCUUACCUGAGGAACUCCCCUUCCCUUCCCUUGACCCUCCUGGGACACCAAAGGAUUCACACAGGAGAGAAAUUCAUCAGGUACAAUGUUUUUCACAAAGCUUUCACCCAAUCCUCUGGUAUCAGAUGUACCAGAGGGUCCAAGGUAGUGAGAAACCAUUCAGGUAUGACGUGUGUGACAUGGCUUUCACACAGUCAGUGUAUCUCCUGAAUGAUCAACACACUCACAUAGGCAGGGGAAUCUCUGUUGGUGUGAGUCUGUAAGAGAGCCUUCACACAUUUUUCGAACCUUCUGGAACAUCAAUGAACCCACAUGGGAGAUAAACCCUUCCAGUGUUCCUUGCAUAGGUCGGCCUGGAGUAGUUAGAUUUUAGUACAAAUUGACAAUUGUUAUCCUAUAAUCACUUAAGUAACCAGAAAGUCAAGGAAGCCAUUUUAACACUGACAUGUGGCAGAGGAAGCAAUUUUGUAUCCCAUAUUAACUAUUGAACAAAUUACUGUAUUCAGUCGCAGUUAGUCAUGGAACAGAUGUUUGUAACAGUAAUGGGUGCACCUUCAUUCAGUUAUAACUUAUGAACUGGUGUAAUCAAAAGUCAUAUCAGAAAGACUGCAUUUUCAUUUACAUGUUAAUGUAUAAUCAAUCUAUAUGUGUCUGUGUGAAAAAGUGCACUUUCAGGUGAAACUGCUCAAACAAUGGAAUCUUGUUGAAAUAGGGUCCCUGGGACAGCACCGCCUUAGAGUCUGACUGAAUGAAUAGAGAACAAGAACAGAAUUAUCUGGAAAAACUCAGCAGGUCUGGCAGCAUCGGCGGAGAAGAAAAGAGUUGACGUUUCGAGUCCUCAUGACCCUUCAACAGAACUAGAGAGUUGUUCAAAAUCAAAUAAAGGAACAGUGUGAAGCAGUCCCAUUGUAUUUCUGUCUGAGAUACUGAGACCAGGUGGCUUCUCGUGGAAAGAUGUAAAUAAAGGCAAUCAAGUUUACCCAGCAACAUGUAGUGCCACUCAUAGAACAAUAAUAGCCUGACUGUGAAAUGGGGUGCUGGUCGGCCAGGAAUUAAAAAGAGGGUUCCAUGAGGUUUUGUUGUGAGUCAGAUUGUGGAGGCUCCAGAGUGUGAACCACCUGUCAAUGUCCACAAGUGGGAUUGAGAUUGAGACCAAGAGCUGAGAGGGUGAACAGACUGUGCAAUUGGCUGAAGCUGCAAUCAUUCUCCUCACUUUGUUAACAAUGUUGUUUCUUUCAUAAACUUUCUAAAAUUUACUAUCCAAAGAUUCCUCGUUUGCCAGUUGGUUAAGUCUCGUAUGAACAAAAGUAGAAAUCACGCUCCACUUUUAUACAAUUAAACCAAAUUACAGUGAGAAUUUUAAAUUGGAGGCACUGGGGGUCUGGGAACCAGUGUGGGUCAGCGAGCAUUGGGGUGAUAGGUGUUUGAGUUAGGACAGAGACCGCAGAGUUUUAGCUGACCUGAAGUUUAUGGAGGGUGAAAGAUGGGAACCUGGACAGGAGAGCAUUGGAAUGGGUCUAGUCUAGUCGAGAAGCAACAACAGCAUGGAUGAGGAUUUCAAUAGCAGAUGGACUAAUGUGGAAGUGGGGGUGUUGGAAACGGGCAAUGUUACCGAGGCGGAAAUGGGUGAUUUUAGCGAUGGAGUGGGUUUGGGGUCGGAAGCUCAGCUGGAGGUUGAAGAGGAUGACACUGACCAAUUGUUGGAGAUGAGAGUGGAGAGGGCAAUGGAGAGGAAUUUAAGUAAUGUAGGAACUGGAGUAAGCCCUUGAGCCUGUUACACCAUUCAUUCAAAUCAUGGCUGAUCUGUAUCGGAACUCUAUCUACCUGCCUUGGCUCUGUAACCCUUAAUCCCCUUGUCUAACAAUAAACCUAUCAAUCUCAGUUCUGAAUUUUUCAAUUGACCCCCCAAACCUGAACAGAUUUUUAUGGGGAGAGAGUUAAAGAUUUCCAGUCCCCUUUUUGUGAAGAUGUAAUUGCUGACAUCACCCCUGAAUAGCCCAGCUCCAAUUUUAAUGCUCUGCCUCCUUGUUCUGGACUCUCCCACCAGAGGAAUACCGGUUUCUCUCUAACUACUCUAUCAUCUCGUUUAAUCAUCUUAAACACUUCAAUUAGAUUACCCCUUAAUUUUCUAGCUCAGCCUGUGCAACCUGUCCUCAUAACUUAACCCUUUUAGCCUCAGGAACAUUCUGGUGAAUCUGUGCUGCACUCCCUCCAAGGCCAGGAUAUCCUUCCUGAGGUGCAGUGCCCAGAACUGAGCACAGUUCUCCAGAUGGGGUCUAAACAGAGCUCUGUACAACUGGAACAUAACUUCCACAAGGACAUAGUUGGUUUUGGGGAGAAGAAGUUGUGGGUUAUCUUUUCUCUUUAGGGUGGUCCUGAAGUAAUGAGCAGUUUUGGCAGUGGAAAGCAGGACCACUAGUGCUUGAUGUAGUCCAGUCAGGUCUAGCAAUGGAUGGCUAAACCAGCUGUGUACCAGAUACGCUCAAAUCUUCACCCCUUGGACUUGAGAAGCAGGGAGAUCAAGCAGGAAGUAAUUUUGGGAACAAGAAUGUAGAAGGUGGAUGUGAGGGAGUGAUUAAACCAGAUUGAUGGCUGCAGAAGCAUUGUGGUGAAUGGAGAGUCAAAGUACAGAGAGUUGGGAAGUAGAUGUGUGCGUGUGCGCAUUUGUGUUUGUAAAGUGAGGCAGCUGUCAGGAGUGCGUAUGGGGUAGAAUUGGACCCUGCUUUAGUUGGUGAUGUGAGUUAUAGACAAAUCCUCUAAAGGUGACGGGUGUUUGACUAAUACCAUGGGGAAUGUUUGUAUUCUGCUGUCUGAGAGGAUUAUUAUCCAGAGUGGGGUGAGUCUCUACAGACCUGAGUUCCCUCAGCCCAUCAUACCUCGAUAUAAUAACAGUGUGAUAUGUUCACUCUGCACUCUUCCAAAAUUCAUUUCAUGUUCUGGAAAAUAACUUGAGCCAUUUUCAAAUGCCUUGUCAUUUUUGUUUGAUUUAAAGUUGAUUAUUGUGUUUGUAUGUUGUUUUAUCAAUCUUGUGUAUAGAUUUAUAACUCUUAAUAAAUUCUCUUUCACCUGUUCUGUCA